RNAcentral lists this ribosomal RNA (1540 nucleotides) under Citrobacter freundii. Its description in RNAcentral is "bacterial SSU rRNA". It matches the Rfam family "Bacterial small subunit ribosomal RNA". Lineage: Bacteria; Pseudomonadati; Pseudomonadota; Gammaproteobacteria; Enterobacterales; Enterobacteriaceae. The record is from RNAcentral.
AAAUUGAAGAGUUUGAUCAUGGCUCAGAUUGAACGCUGGCGGCAGGCCUAACACAUGCAAGUCGAGCGGUAGCACAGAGAGCUUGCUCUCGGGUGACGAGCGGCGGACGGGUGAGUAAUGUCUGGGAAACUGCCUGAUGGAGGGGGAUAACUACUGGAAACGGUAGCUAAUACCGCAUAACGUCGCAAGACCAAAGUGGGGGACCUUCGGGCCUCAUGCCAUCAGAUGUGCCCAGAUGGGAUUAGCUAGUAGGUGGGGUAACGGCUCACCUAGGCGACGAUCCCUAGCUGGUCUGAGAGGAUGACCAGCCACACUGGAACUGAGACACGGUCCAGACUCCUACGGGAGGCAGCAGUGGGGAAUAUUGCACAAUGGGCGCAAGCCUGAUGCAGCCAUGCCGCGUGUGUGAAGAAGGCCUUCGGGUUGUAAAGCACUUUCAGCGGGGAGGAAGGCGGUGAGGUUAAUAACCUCACCGAUUGACGUUACCCGCAGAAGAAGCACCGGCUAACUCCGUGCCAGCAGCCGCGGUAAUACGGAGGGUGCAAGCGUUAAUCGGAAUUACUGGGCGUAAAGCGCACGCAGGCGGUCUGUCAAGUCGGAUGUGAAAUCCCCGGGCUCAACCUGGGAACUGCAUUCGAAACUGGCAGGCUAGAGUCUUGUAGAGGGGGGUAGAAUUCCAGGUGUAGCGGUGAAAUGCGUAGAGAUCUGGAGGAAUACCGGUGGCGAAGGCGGCCCCCUGGACAAAGACUGACGCUCAGGUGCGAAAGCGUGGGGAGCAAACAGGAUUAGAUACCCUGGUAGUCCACGCUGUAAACGAUGUCGAUUUGGAGGUUGUGCCCUUGAGGCGUGGCUUCCGGAGCUAACGCGUUAAAUCGACCGCCUGGGGAGUACGGCCGCAAGGUUAAAACUCAAAUGAAUUGACGGGGGCCCGCACAAGCGGUGGAGCAUGUGGUUUAAUUCGAUGCAACGCGAAGAACCUUACCUGGUCUUGACAUCCACAGAACUUUCCAGAGAUGGAUUGGUGCCUUCGGGAACUGUGAGACAGGUGCUGCAUGGCUGUCGUCAGCUCGUGUUGUGAAAUGUUGGGUUAAGUCCCGCAACGAGCGCAACCCUUAUCCUUUGUUGCCAGCGGUCCGGCCGGGAACUCAAAGGAGACUGCCAGUGAUAAACUGGAGGAAGGUGGGGAUGACGUCAAGUCAUCAUGGCCCUUACGACCAGGGCUACACACGUGCUACAAUGGCAUAUACAAAGAGAAGCGACCUCGCGAGAGCAAGCGGACCUCAUAAAGUAUGUCGUAGUCCGGAUUGGAGUCUGCAACUCGACUCCAUGAAGUCGGAAUCGCUAGUAAUCGUGGAUCAGAAUGCCACGGUGAAUACGUUCCCGGGCCUUGUACACACCGCCCGUCACACCAUGGGAGUGGGUUGCAAAAGAAGUAGGUAGCUUAACCUUCGGGAGGGCGCUUACCACUUUGUGAUUCAUGACUGGGGUGAAGUCGUAACAAGGUAACCGUAGGGGAACCUGCGGUUGGAACACCUCCUUA